RNAcentral lists this ribosomal RNA (1372 nucleotides) under uncultured bacterium. Its description in RNAcentral is "bacterial SSU rRNA". It matches the Rfam family "Bacterial small subunit ribosomal RNA", at positions 28 to 1381 of the family's 1533-position model. The record is from RNAcentral.
GAUGAACGCUGGCGGCGUGCCUAAUACAUGCAAGUCGAGCGAACGGACGAGAAGCUUGCUUCUCUGAUGUUAGCGGCGGACGGGUGAGUAACACGUGGAUAACCUACCUAUAAGACUGGGAUAACUUCGGGAAACCGGAGCUAAUACCGGAUAAUAUUUUGAACCGCAUGGUUCAAAAGUGAAAGACGGUCUUGCUGUCACUUAUAGAUGGAUCCGCGCUGCAUUAGCUAGUUGGUAAGGUAACGGCUUACCAAGGCAACGAUGCAUAGCCGACCUGAGAGGGUGAUUGGCCACACUGGAACUGAGACACGGUCCAGACUCCUACGGGAGGCAGCAGUAGGGAAUCUUCCGCAAUGGGCGAAAGCCUGACGGAGCAACGCCGCGUGAGUGAUGAAGGUCUUCGGAUCGUAAAACUCUGUUAUUAGGGAAGAACAUAUGUGUAAGUAACUGUGCACAUCUUGACGGUACCUAAUCAGAAAGCCACGGCUAACUACGUGCCAGCAGCCGCGGUAAUACGUAGGUGGCAAGCGUUAUCCGGAAUUAUUGGGCGUAAAGCGCGCGUAGGCGGUUUUUUAAGUCUGAUGUGAAAGCCCACGGCUCAACCGUGGAGGGUCAUUGGAAACUGGAAAACUUGAGUGCAGAAGAGGAAAGUGGAAUUCCAUGUGUAGCGGUGAAAUGCGCAGAGAUAUGGAGGAACACCAGUGGCGAAGGCGACUUUCUGGUCUGUAACUGACGCUGAUGUGCGAAAGCGUGGGGAUCAAACAGGAUUAGAUACCCUGGUAGUCCACGCCGUAAACGAUGAGUGCUAAGUGUUAGGGGGUUUCCGCCCCUUAGUGCUGCAGCUAACGCAUUAAGCACUCCGCCUGGGGAGUACGACCGCAAGGUUGAAACUCAAAGGAAUUGACGGGGACCCGCACAAGCGGUGGAGCAUGUGGUUUAAUUCGAAGCAACGCGAAGAACCUUACCAAAUCUUGACAUCCUUUGACAACUCUAGAGAUAGAGCCUUCCCCUUCGGGGGACAAAGUGACAGGUGGUGCAUGGUUGUCGUCAGCUCGUGUCGUGAGAUGUUGGGUUAAGUCCCGCAACGAGCGCAACCCUUAAGCUUAGUUGCCAUCAUUAAGUUGGGCACUCUAAGUUGACUGCCGGUGACAAACCGGAGGAAGGUGGGGAUGACGUCAAAUCAUCAUGCCCCUUAUGAUUUGGGCUACACACGUGCUACAAUGGACAAUACAAAGGGCAGCGAAACCGCGAGGUCAAGCAAAUCCCAUAAAGUUGUUCUCAGUUCGGAUCGUAGUCUGCAACUCGACUACACGAAGCUGGAAUCGCUAGUAAUCGUAGAUCAGCAUGCUACGGUGAAUACGUUCCCGGGUCU